This 90-nucleotide transfer RNA is filed under the name bacterium. Its description in RNAcentral is "tRNA-Ser". It matches the Rfam family "tRNA". From Rfam's summary of the family: Transfer RNA (tRNA) molecules are approximately 80 nucleotides in length. Their secondary structure includes four short double-helical elements and three loops (D, anti-codon, and T loops). The record is from RNAcentral. RNAcentral also lists the same sequence under 4 other names.
GGAGAGGUGCCAGAGCGGUCGAAUGGGGCGGUCUCGAAAACCGUUGACCGGGCAACCGGUCCGUGGGUUCGAAUCCCACCCUCUCCGCCA